Molecule: ribosomal RNA, 252 nt
Filed under: uncultured bacterium
Lineage: Bacteria
Description: partial 16S ribosomal RNA
Rfam family: Bacterial small subunit ribosomal RNA
Source: RNAcentral
UACGGGGGGGGCAAGCGUUGUUCGGAAUUACUGGGCGUAAAGGGCUCGUAGGCGCCCUCUCAGUCGGAUGUGAAAUCCCCAGGCUCAACUUGGGAACGGCAUCCGAUACUGGAGGGCUUGAAUUCGGGAGAGGGAUGCAGAAUUCCAGGUGUAGCGGUGAAAUGCGUAGAUAUCUGGAGGAAUACCGGUGGCGAAGGCGGCAUCCUGGACCGAGAUUGACGCUGAGGAGCGAAAGCUAGGGGAGCAAACGGG